CCGAGCCUGACAGAUCACACA
This 21-nucleotide microRNA is filed under the name Bos taurus (domestic cattle). RNAcentral's name for it is "bta-miR-10225a". The record is from miRBase by way of RNAcentral. Lineage: Eukaryota; Metazoa; Chordata; Mammalia; Artiodactyla; Bovidae.